This 362-nucleotide ribosomal RNA is filed under the name Salmonella enterica subsp. enterica serovar Muenchen. Its description in RNAcentral is "bacterial SSU rRNA". It matches the Rfam family "Bacterial small subunit ribosomal RNA", at positions 1153 to 1514 of the family's 1533-position model. The record is from RNAcentral. Lineage: Bacteria; Pseudomonadati; Pseudomonadota; Gammaproteobacteria; Enterobacterales; Enterobacteriaceae. RNAcentral also lists the same sequence under 4 other names.
CAGUGAUAAACUGGAGGAAGGUGGGGAUGACGUCAAGUCAUCAUGGCCCUUACGACCAGGGCUACACACGUGCUACAAUGGCGCAUACAAAGAGAAGCGACCUCGCGAGAGCAAGCGGACCUCAUAAAGUGCGUCGUAGUCCGGAUUGGAGUCUGCAACUCGACUCCAUGAAGUCGGAAUCGCUAGUAAUCGUGGAUCAGAAUGCCACGGUGAAUACGUUCCCGGGCCUUGUACACACCGCCCGUCACACCAUGGGAGUGGGUUGCAAAAGAAGUAGGUAGCUUAACCUUCGGGAGGGCGCUUACCACUUUGUGAUUCAUGACUGGGGUGAAGUCGUAACAAGGUAACCGUAGGGGAACCUG